CCGCCCAGCGCCCGGGGGAGGCGAGGCCCGGCCGCGGCACCGUGUCCGCUCGCGGGCUCGGUUCCCCCGGCGGCGCCGACUGCCGUCCCCGGGACUCGGAGCCACGUCCUCCCUCUCUGGGGCUCGGAGGCUGAAAAUAGGUUGAUUUUGUUUCCUUUGCUUGAUGAUUAAGAGGAUAGUCUCAUUGCCAUUUAAAAGAAGAGUUUUACAUGAACCAUCAGAUAAAUUGUGAAGCAAGAAAUAAACAAGUUAAUGUGUUAAGAGCCAUUGACAUUUGAAUUUGAAGAUCAUCAGAAGUGAAGAUAAAACAUCUCAAAAAUUAUAAUAUAGCGAGAAAAGACAAAAAUAAGCAAGAAGAUAGUAUCUUAUGAUUUGUACUAACUAAUCUGGUAAAUAGGGAACAGUACUCAAAAUUAUGGAGGGAUAAAUCACUGAAUGAUGCCAAUACUUUGCAUUUUAACUAACCUUUCCAGACUUGAAAGAGAAAGAGACAUUAAAUGCUCUUCUUUUCCUACUGAAUUUUUUAAUUUAGUUUCUGCAAACAAAAUAAAGUACCUGUUACCUGUGCUAACAUAGUGUGCUUGGAGCUCUAAUGAUCUGACUGGUCUUCAGUUUAGUAUGACAUUUUCUCAGUUAAACUGGUAUGUAAGUAACUUUCCCCUCUAGGCUACUUAUGAAUCCAAAUGAAUUUUCAUUUUUGCUCUAGUUUGUUUGUCAGAGAUUUUUGAAGAAGUUCUGAGAAGCUCUUUUAAGAGAGUGCUGAGGGUGUUGAGAUUGAUUGGUGCUGGAACCCAAGGUCCCUCCUUCUCUCCAGUUCUUACUGGAUCCCCUAUGGACACAUAAAUUUUGGCUAGCAUACUUGGCUUUUGCCUGUUUUAUUUAUUUGUAUUUCCAGAUACGAUCUUUGGAGAAGCAGUACUCUGCAGGAAAAAAGAUAUAUGUACACCAUUUUUUAUACAACCUGGUUUUUCAGACUUGCUGUUGGAUUACCAAAUAAUACACACCCUGACUUUCAGUUCAGGAAGUAUAGUUGAUAGACCUUAAAAUAAAAUAAUACAAAUUAAACUGUAUCCAAGGUCACAUGUACCUUAGAACCUUGGGGUUUUCUAAACUAAAUGCCAACAGGCACCAGCUGUCCCAGAGCUCAAAUCCCCUUUGUUUCUCUGAAGAAUACAAAGUGUAGUCUCUGAUCUUUGUCAAUCAGAUGCCAUUAUGAUAAGAUCACUUAUGCCAUCUCUUUUAUACUAAAGAUUGGUUAAAUUAAAAAGUGCAGGGUUCUGGGGUAGCAUUUUAAAAAUAAUUAUGAGCUGCAAAUAAUUUUGUUUUGGGGGGUUAUUUUUCUAUUUUGGGGACUGCAAAUAGUCUGACAAUGAGUCUUUUGUGUCCCAAAUUCUUUAUACACACUAAAGGCCUUUUAUUAUUUUUUAAAUAAAAUGUUCUGCAGAAUGACUAAUAGAAUAUGAACAGUGCUUGUGACACUGUAGUCCAUUGUGUAAGUGUUGAGAGUAAAAUUUGCAUUCCUAGAAAAGGUUUUUCACAGUCAGGAUACAGAACGCAUUCUUUAAUGUCCUCUGGCAAAUGUACUAUGUGUGUGCUCAGGACAUUACUACGGAGUAUACUUUCCAUGGAGUACUGAUGAAAAAUGAAAUUGGAGUGAAGCGCUUUAAAUAAGGCAAGUGGUCUAGACCUUAUUGUAAUGACUGUGGUCAGUA
Long non-coding RNA from Myotis daubentonii (Daubenton's bat), 1712 nucleotides. RefSeq lists it as uncharacterized. The transcript has 4 exons. The record is from RefSeq and is a predicted model, not a curated record. Lineage: Eukaryota; Metazoa; Chordata; Mammalia; Chiroptera; Vespertilionidae.